This 383-nucleotide ribosomal RNA is filed under the name uncultured bacterium. Its description in RNAcentral is "bacterial SSU rRNA". It matches the Rfam family "Bacterial small subunit ribosomal RNA", at positions 29 to 410 of the family's 1533-position model. The record is from RNAcentral.
AGUGAACGCUGGCGGUAGGCCUAACACAUGCAAGUCGAACGGCAGCACAGGAGAGCUUGCUCUCUGGGUGGCGAGUGGCGGACGGGUGAGGAAUACAUCGGAAUCUACUCUGUCGUGGGGGAUAACGUAGGGAAACUUACGCUAAUACCGCAUACGACCUACGGGUGAAAGCAGGGGAUCUUCGGACCUUGCGCGAUUGAAUGAGCCGAUGUCGGAUUAGCAGUUGGCGGGUAAAGGCCCACCAAGGCGACGAUCCGUAGCUGGUCUGAGAGGAUGAUCAGCCACACUGGAACUGAGACACGGUCCAGACUCCUACGGGAGGCAGCAGUGGGAAUAUUGGACAAUGGGCGCAAGCCUGAUCCAGCCAUACCGCGUGGGUGAAG